RNAcentral lists this ribosomal RNA (254 nucleotides) under uncultured bacterium. RNAcentral describes it as "partial 16S ribosomal RNA". It matches the Rfam family "Bacterial small subunit ribosomal RNA", at positions 524 to 776 of the family's 1533-position model. The record is from RNAcentral.
UACAGAGGGUGCGAGCGUUAAUCGGAAUUACUGGGCGUAAAGCGUGCGUAGACGGUCAUGUAAGUCGGGUGUGAAAGCCCCCCGGCUCAACUGGGGAGGGUCACGCGAUACUGAUCGACUCGAAGGCAGGAGAGGGUAGUGGAAUUCCCGGUGUAGUGGUGAAAUGCGUAGAUAUCGGGAGGAACACCAGUGGCGAAGGCGACUACCUGGCCUGUUCUUGACGCUGAGGCGCGAAAGCUAGGGGAGCAAACGGG